AAGGAGCUGAGCCGGAAGGCAAAGCUCUCAAUUUACCGGUCGAUCUACGUUCCCAUCUUCACCUAUGGUCAUGAGCUUUGGGUCAUGACCGAAAGGAUAAGAUCACGGGUACAAGCGGCCCAAAUGAGUUUCCUCCGCCGUGUGGCGGGGCUCUCCCUUAGGGUGAGAAGCUCUGCCAUCCGGGAGGAACUCAAAGUAAAGCCGCUGCUCCUUCACAUCGAGAGGAGCCAGAUGAGGUGGUUCGGGCAUCUGGUCAGGAUGCCAUCCGAACGCCUCCCUAGGGAGGUGUUUAGGGCACGUCCAACCGGUAGGAGGCCACGGGGAAGACCUAGGACACGUUGGGAAGACUAUGUCUCCCGGCUGGCCUGGGAACGCCUCGGGAUCCCCCGGGAAGAGCUAGACGAAGUGGCUGGGGAGAGGGAAGUCUGGGUUUCCCUGCUUAGGCUGUUGCCCCCGCGACCCGACCUCGGAUAAGCGGAAGAUGAUGGAUGGAUGGAUGGAUGGUAUUUAUCUACACGGUCAAUUUUGGGGGUAUGGUUAUCUAUAAUACAAGGUCAAUAUGAAUUUUAUUUGUGUCUCGUGGUUUUUGUUAUCUACAAGGUCAAUUUUGGGGGUCUGGUCAUCUACAAUACAAGGUCAAUAUGUAUUUCCUUUGUCAUGGUUUUUGUUAUCUACAAGGUCAAUUUUAAGGAGUCUGGUCUUUUACAAUACAAGGUCAGUAUGUAUUUCCUUUGUCAUGGUUUUUGUUAUCUACAAGGUCAAUUUUAGGGGUCUUGUCAUCGACAAUACAUGGUAAAUAUGUAUUUAAUUUGUGUCAUCAGGGUUUUUGAUAUCUACAAGGUCAAUUUUGGAGUCUGGUUAUCUACAAUACAAAGUCAAUAUGUAUAUAAUUUGUGUCAUCAUUGUGUUUGUUUCCUCAGUUUUUGAUAUCUGCAAGGUCAAAAUUGGUUUAUUCCACUAUGCAAUGCAAAACUCUUACCUAAUGUUAUCCAUUUAUUCAUUCAUGUGACUCAUUUCUCAUUCUUACACCCUGCAGCGCUACAACAGUACACAAGUCUUACACAAUGUGUUAUGGGUCACGUUCCUGCUUCUCCUCCUGCUGUGCGGACUGAGUGCAUGGCGGAGCACAUCAACAGGUGUUCUCUCUCCGCUGCGGGUGUGCCUCUGCAAGAGAUCUGCAAUCAACACACCUGCCGGUGAUGAGCAACCAGGCUUCAUAAGCCAGCGCGUCUUAAGAUCCGGUGCCAGAAAGUAGUUUCUCCUACCAGUACACUUCCUCUUCAUCUACCUGGACCCACUUUGGAUUCCUUCUUGCCUCCCUGGACCAAGACCUCGCUCCUGCCUUCUGACGUCCAAGCCUUUUUCUUCUUUUGGACUUCCACCUCUAUCUCAACACGCACACUCAACACCCUCUGGUGACCACGCUCAGAUAAUACUUACACAUAGUCACACUCCAUCUCUUUAAGGUAAUCACACACUGCACUCACAUACUGAGUUGUCAAUAAACACGCUGGCAGCUAA
Molecule: long non-coding RNA, 1521 nt
Organism: Nerophis ophidion (straightnose pipefish)
Lineage: Eukaryota; Metazoa; Chordata; Actinopteri; Syngnathiformes; Syngnathidae
Exons: 2
Source: RefSeq, a predicted model, not a curated record